GCAUCACAUUUUAUUUCAAUACUUAAUGGAAUUCAAAGGUUACAAGUUUGAGUUAACUCAAUUAACUAGGACAUUCAAAAUCACAAUAUUGCCAAAUUUGAGACACUGUUACACAGUUUACAGAGAUGAUGGAAUUUAUCUCAAAACAUCCAUUUUAACAUUCAAACUUUAAGGCAAUCUAAGAAUUCAAAAUAUACCCACUUUUUACACCACCCUUUAUGUUUAUUAUCUAGAACUCUGUUUACAAUUUUUGUUUUCAUAUUAUUUUUUGUUAUUUUUCUACGUUUUUUUUUUUUUUUACAGAGCUCUAGAUAAUAAAAAUAUGGGAUGCAUGUCUAAGGUUAGAGGUAUAAGCAAAGACAUUCAAAAUAAGAAUAAUGCAAAUCUAUGACACUUUUAGACUGUAAUAAAUAAAGAACAAUAGGUUUUAUCUCUAAAUAUGUAAAAUCAAAAGAAUUGUACGUCCAAUUAAACAUUUUCGUUUUGAAUUUCAUAAAUAUCUUUGAUGAAAAAAAGAAAAUUUAAAAUAUGCCCACUUUUUACACCACCCUUAAUGUUUAUUAUCUAGAACUCUGUUUACAAUUUUUGUUUUCAUAUUAUUUUUUGUUAUUUUUUCGACAUGGUUUUUUUUUUUUUUUUUUUUUUUACAGAGCUCUAGAUAAUAAAAAUAUGGGAUGCAUGUCUAAGGUUAGAGGGAUAAGCAAAGACAUUCAAAAUAAGAAUAAUGCAAAUCUAUGACACUUUUAGACUGUAAUAAAUAAAGAACAAUAGGUUUUGUCUCUAAAUAUGUAAAAUCAAAAGAAUUGUACGUCCAAUUAAACAUUCUCGUUUUGAAUUUCAUAAAUAUAUUUGAUGAAAAAAAGAAAAUUUAAAAUAUGCCCACUUUUUACACCACCCUUAAUGUUUUUAUUAUUAUCUAGAACUCUGUUUUACAAAUUUUGUUUUCAUAUUAUUUUUUGUUAUUUUUCUACAGUUUUUUUUUUUUUUUUUUUUUUUUUUUUUACAAGAGCUCUAGAUAAUAAAAAUAUGGGAUGCAUGUCUAAGGUUAGAGGUAUAAGCAAAAUAAAGACAUUCAAAAUAAGAAUAAUGCAAAUCUAUGACACUUUUAGACUGCAAUAAAUAAAGAACAAUAGGUUUUGUCUCUAAAAUAAUUAAAUCAAAAGGAAUUGUACGUCCAAUUAAACAUUCUCGUUUUAAAUUUCAUACAUAAAUAUUUGAUGAAAAAAAGAAAAUUUAAAAUAUGCCCACUUUUUACACCACCCUUAAUGUUUAUUAUCUAGAACUCUGUUUACAAUUUUUGUUUUCAUAUCAUUUUUUGUUAUUUUUCUACAUGUUUUUUUUUUUUUUUUUUUUUUUUUUUUUUUUUUUUUUACAGAGCUCUAGAUAAUAAAAAUAUGGGAUGCAUGUCUAAGGUUAGAGGUAUAAGCAAAGACAUUCAAAAUAAGAAUAAUGCAAAUCUAUGACACUUUUAGACUGGAAUAAAUAAAGAACAAUAGGUUUUGUCUCUAAAUAUGUAAAAUCAAAAGAAUUGUACGUCCAAUUAAACAUUCUCGUUUUGAAUUUCAUAAAUAUCUUUGAUGAAAAAAAGAAAAUUUAAAAUAUGCCCACUUUUUACACCACCCUUAAUGUUUAUUAUC
Molecule: long non-coding RNA, 1637 nt
Filed under: Mytilus galloprovincialis (Mediterranean mussel)
Lineage: Eukaryota; Metazoa; Mollusca; Bivalvia; Mytilida; Mytilidae
Source: RNAcentral